UGCCAGACUCCUACGGGAGGCAGCAGUGAGGAAUAUUGGUCAAUGGGCGCGAGCCUGAACCAGCCAAGUCGCGUGAGGGAGGACGGCCCUACGGGUUGUAAACCUCUUUUGCCGGGGAGCAACGGGCGUCACGUGUGGCGUCACUGAGAGUACCCGGAGAAAAAGCAUCGGCUAACUCCGUGCCAGCAGCCGCGGUAAUACGGAGGAUGCGAGCGUUAUCCGGAUUUAUUGGGUUUAAAGGGUGCGUAGGCGGUAUUUUAAGUUAGUGGUAAAACGUCGGGGCUUCACCUUGAUUGGCCAUUAAAACUGGAGUACUAGAGUACAGACGAGGUAGGCGGAAUAAGUUAAGUAGCGGUGAAAUGCUUAGAUAUAACGUAGAACCCCGAUAGCGAAGGCAGCUUACCAGACUGUUACUGACGCUGAAGCACGAGAGCGUGGGUAGCGAACAGGAUUAGAUACCCGCGUAUU
This 468-nucleotide ribosomal RNA is filed under the name uncultured bacterium. RNAcentral's name for it is "bacterial SSU rRNA". It matches the Rfam family "Bacterial small subunit ribosomal RNA", at positions 329 to 794 of the family's 1533-position model. The record is from RNAcentral.